UCCCAGACUCCUACGGGAGGCAGCAGUGAGGAAUAUUGGUCAAUGGGCGCGAGCCUGAACCAGCCAAGUCGCGUGAGGGAAGACGGUCCUAUGGAUUGUAAACCUCUUUUGUCGGGGAGCAAGGCCCGCCACGUGUGGCGGGAAGGAGAGUACCCGAAGAAAAAGCAUCGGCUAACUCCGUGCCAGCAGCCGCGGUAAUACGGAGGAUGCGAGCGUUAUCCGGAUUUAUUGGGUUUAAAGGGUGCGUAGGCGGACGCUUAAGUCAGCGGUAAAAUUGCGGGGCUCAACCUCGUCGAGCCGUUGAAACUGGGUGCCUUGAGUGGGCGAGAAGUACGCGGAAUGCGUGGUGUAGCGGUGAAAUGCAUAGAUAUCACGCAGAACUCCGAUUGCGAAGGCAGCGUACCGGCGCCCAACUGACGCUGAAGCACGAAGGCGUGGGUAUCGAACAGGAUUAGAUACCCGGGUA
Molecule: ribosomal RNA, 466 nt
Filed under: uncultured bacterium
Lineage: Bacteria
Description: bacterial SSU rRNA
Rfam family: Bacterial small subunit ribosomal RNA
Source: RNAcentral